RNAcentral lists this ribosomal RNA (510 nucleotides) under uncultured bacterium. Its description in RNAcentral is "partial 16S ribosomal RNA". It matches the Rfam family "Bacterial small subunit ribosomal RNA", at positions 28 to 507 of the family's 1533-position model. The record is from RNAcentral.
GACGAACGCUGGCGGCGUGCUUAACACAUGCAAGUCGAACGAAGAGCGGUGGACUCUUGCUUCUAUCAAUCUUAGUGGCGGACGGGUGAGUCACGCGUACUCAACCUGCCCUUCAGAGGGGGACAACAGUUGGAAACGACUGCUCAUACCGCAUACGAUCUAAUCUCGGCAUCGAGGAUAGAUGUAAGGUGGCCUCUACAUGUAAGCUAUCACUGGCGGGGGGGAUUGCGUCUGGUUAGCUAGUUGGAGGGGUAACGGCCCACCAAGGCGAUGAGCAGUAGCCGGGCUGAGAGGAUGAAAGGCGACAUAGUGACUGUGAGACGGCCCAGACUCCUACGGGGGGCGGCAGUGGGGAAACUUCCGCAAUAGACGAAAGUCUGACGGAGAGACGCCGCGUGAGUGAGGACGGCCUUCGGGUUGUAAAGCGCUGUUAAUCGGGACGAAAGGCCUUCUUGCGAAUAGCGAGAAGGAUUGACGGUACCGGAAUAGAAAGCCACGGCUAACUACGUG